UAGGGAAUCUUCGGCAAUGGACGGAAGUCUGACCGAGCAACGCCGCGUGAGUGAAGAAGGUUUUCGGAUCGUAAAGCUCUGUUGUAAGAGAAGAACGAGUGUGAGAGUGGAAAGUUCACACUGUGACGGUAUCUUACCAGAAAGGGACGGCUAACUACGUGCCAGCAGCCGCGGUAAUACGUAGGUCCCGAGCGUUGUCCGGAUUUAUUGGGCGUAAAGCGAGCGCAGGCGGUUAGAUAAGUCUGAAGUUAAAGGCUGUGGCUUAACCAUAGUACGCUUUGGAAACUGUUUAACUUGAGUGCAAGAGGGGAGAGUGGAAUUCCAUGUGUAGCGGUGAAAUGCGUAGAUAUAUGGAGGAACACCGGUGGCGAAAGCGGCUCUCUGGCUUGUAACUGACGCUGAGGCUCGAAAGCGUGGGGAGCAAACAGGAUUAGAUACCCUGGUAGUCCACGCCGUAAACGAUGAGUGCUAGGUGUUAGACCCUUUCCGGGGUUUAGUGCCGUAACUAACGCAUUAAGCACUCCGCCUGGGGAGUACGACCGCAAGGUUG
RNAcentral lists this ribosomal RNA (550 nucleotides) under uncultured bacterium. RNAcentral's name for it is "bacterial SSU rRNA". It matches the Rfam family "Bacterial small subunit ribosomal RNA", at positions 355 to 896 of the family's 1533-position model. The record is from RNAcentral.